Long non-coding RNA from Mirounga angustirostris (Northern elephant seal), 8680 nucleotides. RefSeq lists it as uncharacterized. The record is from RefSeq and is a predicted model, not a curated record. The transcript is spliced from 2 exons. NCBI's taxonomy places the organism in Eukaryota, Metazoa, Chordata, Mammalia, Carnivora, Phocidae.
GCUCCUCGUGUUCUCAGGCCUGCAGCCUGCCUGCAGCCCGGGUGGCCUGCCUUUCUCACCCUACUGCUUGCUUGCUUGCUUGUUUUUUUUUUUUUUUUUUUUUUUUAAGGAAACUCUGGGGCACCUGGGUGGCUCAUUUGGUUGGGCCUCUGACUCUUGGUUUCGGCUCAAGUCAUGAUCUCCGGGUCCCGAGAUCGAAUCCUGUGUUGGGCUUUGCGCUCGGGGAGUCUGCUUGGGAUUCUGUCUCUCUCUGCCCUUCCCUCUGCUCAUGCACUCUCUCUCAAAUAAACAAAUAAAUAAAAUAUUUUAAAAAAUAAAAAGGAAACUCUGUUAAAAAGAAGAUCAACUUAAAGCAAUAUACAAUUAGACCUAAGAGCAUUAUCUAAUUAGGUUUGCAAUGAUCUUUAUCUUCUUGGACCCUUGAUUUAGGGCUAUGUGAAGACACACAGUAUGCUGGCGACAAAAGGUUGCUGAGAUUAUACAAGCUCCUGUGAAGUCAGUGACAGGUUUUGCUGCACCUGAUCAGUUGAAAAUGAUGUUUAUUGUUCUCUAAUAAAAACCUGGGGGGGGCGGGAAGGAGGUAUUACUGACCUAUGUGAAAAAAAGCAGUAUGAAUACACUCAAAGUUUACUUACAAAAUCACAAAAAAUAGACACUCCAUUUCCAUGAUGGCUCAGAGACCCAACAGGAGCUGAAUGACAGUUAAAAACAAACAAACAAAAAACUAGAGGGAGAUCGAGAUAGAAAGAGGUCAGUCAGCACGGAGUCCCGAGGCUGAAUGUAACAAUGCCUACCGAGCUCCACCCAGCUGAGGGGAUGGGCCGCCAUCAUUCCCCUAUUUCAGUCUUGCAAGACUUCCUGUGUCUGAGGUGAUGUGUUCCAGCUCCAGUUCCUCACAGGCUCUCCGGUACAGUCCUGGUGAGCUGGGUGGGCAAGCCUACUCAAAGACUCUACCUCUCCUCAGACAAUGAUCGUAAUGUAAUUGGGUGCUGUUACUGGAAAAAAAAAAUCAAAAUGCAUGUCCGGCUUACCAAAGGUGGGGACACCAUCUGUCUCACAUCCAUGCAUGUCUCUCUGUUUUCUCUCUAUCCAGCUAUAAAACACUGGCCAUUGGAGCAAACAUACUUUCUUCCCUUUCUCCGGGAGCCAAAGGAAAAGGCCCUUUUUUAAAAUAGGUCUUAUGCUGGGUGUCUGUCUCCCCCAGCCCUGAGAGAUUGCUCCUGCUUUCUUCAGGUCACAGAUGGAACAGGGAGUGAGGUUGGAGGCGUUCAUGUCUCCAAACUAAAAAGUGGUAGACCCGGGAUUUGAGCUCUGAGGUUCAGUUCACAGAUCUUUCUCGGUACCACAGUUUUCCCCAGGGUGACAUCAAACUGUUUUGACUUUUUGUCUAUAUUCUUUUUGGCUUGGAUUUUUUUCUUCAGUGGUAGUUACCAGAAAUAUCUAAGUAGAUUAUAGUCUUUUUUUUUUUUUUUCUUCAGUAAGUGCCUUUAUGUUUACUAACUCAUUUAAUUCUUACAGUGAUACCUAAAGCCCACCUGGCACCUGGAAAGAACCACUGACAUGUGUUUGCUCUUAUGAGCAUCAUCAUGUCUCUCACAUGGAGUGUCUACCUCACAUGGGUCUCCUUGCCCAUCUGCCUUGGUAACUUGGUUGAAAGGGUUGAUAUUGUAGAAACCUGUUACAUCUACAUACCCAUUAAAUUAUAUAUGCCAUUCCCCCAGUGAAUCUGUCUCUCUCUCUCUCUCUCUCUCUCUGACUUUGGGGAGGAACUCAAAGCUGACAACAAAUCUGUAUAGCUCCGUGCUAGAUGAGAUCAAACAUCUACUAGCUCCUUGAGCUGACCAGCCCAGGUGACAGGACAGGCCAUUAAAUUCUGCCCCCUGUUCCUCCCUAGGGCUGAUGCACACAUCUUUAUAUAUUCUAGUGAGUAUUUUUUGCUUUUCUUGUCAUUUACUUGUGAAUCUUUACUCCUGAUGGUCAUUCCUAUUGCUUGGGGUGGGAUAGUUCCAGGAGGGAGAGGGAGAGAUUUCCCUAUCAAUGGCCUACUCAUGUUUAUCCUAAGUAACCUACAGCUAGAAAAGCUACGUAUAACUUACAGUCCACACAUACACUCUGUUUAGUAUUCCUCACCAAGACACUGUCUAUUCUUUUUUUUUUUUUUUUUUUUAGGGGAUCUGAAAUUUUAUUUAAGAAACUAUUAGGCAUAGUUUCAAUUAGGAGCAAUCUAGUAACACUCCAAAAAGAAAUAUACUGGUGGUAUUGGGUGAAACAUAUUCUGAAGAUUUUAUUACAAUGAAGACACUGUCUAUUCUUAUUCAUGUUAAUUAUAGUCUAUAAAGUUGCUGUGAACACUGAAUUAGCGAAUACUGAAUCAUUGUUCCUGAGAGAAAUACGGGGCCCUGUUCCUGCCUCUGGUCAGAGGACUUUCAUUAACAGAUCAAUACAUGCCCUUGUAUUAUGUAUGUUUCUGUCUAAAGACACCUUGUGUAAUAUAUAGCUGAUUUGUUAAUAUUGAACUCAUGGCCAACAGCCCUAUAACUCACACCUGAAUGGAGAUUAUGUAGCAGAUGAUUUCUCUGGAAGGCACAUUACAGCCUUUUUGUACUUAGGUGCACAAUGUAGCACUUUGGCACUCUACUUAGGGGACAUCUUAAACAUCAAAAUCAUCAGCAAAAAGCACAAAAAUGUAAAAAGCAGGGCACUAAAUAUACUGCAGAAAGGACAGUUGUUUACAGUGUAAGAGCUGAAACAAGAGGUGGAGGGUGAUCUUCUUUGACCUUAGCUGAGAACGUGAACCAUUCUGCCUAUGUGCCCCAAUGACCUGGAAAAUUUUCAUGAGUAUUGAUUUCAGGGAUACAAAUACAUUUUAGUGAGUAGGCAAAAUCUCAAAUACGGAAUUUGCAGAUAAAUGAGAAUCAGCUGUAAUUCGUGUUCUCACUGGGAACAUUCCCUCCCACCAUAGCUUUGCACUUGGGCUCAGAGUGUGAUUUCCUUGGGCCAGCUAAUAAAGGUACUGUGAUUUUAAUUUGUUUCUUUUCUGAGCACUGCUUUAAGGGAGGAAUUACUCGAGCCUUGGUUAUUAUAGUCUUGAAUUUCAUCUAUGUCUCAGCUGUUCCCUGGAAAGAAAAUAUAAGAGACAUGCCAUUAAUUUACAUGUUGGAAUCUACAGUAACUUUAGGAUUAAAGUAUACAGCAUGCCAAACCAAGUGAUGAGGAUAUCACAAGUUCCUUGACUUCCCAUGAACCUUUAUGUAAAUGUACUUUAAUAUUUAGAAAUAUAAAUAGCAAUAUAGUACAGUAGUUAAGACUGCAGAUGGGAGCCCAACAUUGGCUCUGACGCUUACUAACAUUAUUUGAGAUAGUUUACAAAACCUCCAUUUCUCACCUAUAAAAUGAUGAUCAUAAUAUACCUCUUAUAGGGUUUCUGCAAGAUUAGAUGAGCUAAUGCAUAUAAAGUACCCAGCAUAUAUGUAUCAUACACAUGUGACAUACAUAUAUGUGACAUACAUAUAUACACACACAGUAGAUAUUAUUAUUACUGGUAUAUAUACAUAUAAAGAGAGUGACAGACAUAACAAAGGCAGAAUUUUAUGCUGUGGACUACUGUAAACUCUAUGAGAUGUGUAACAGGGUUCCAUGUUUGCUUAUUAAUUCCUUUUGUAACAACAGUUUAUUAUUCAGAACUGUGACUUUCUGGUGUUCAGUUUUAGAUGGAAUGAGUGUUUUCUCCUGUUUACUUUUUGCAUAAAGCAGUCCUUCUCCUCACACUUGACAGUGAGCUACCAAAUCCAAGUGGCCGCUGUGCAUCUCAGAAGUAUUUUUAGUGGUUCUUACUCAGCAGUACAUCUUCUGUGGGGGAUCUUCUCGUAGAUUCCCCGAAGCAUGGAAGAGCACAAUUAGGAAGACACCGGCCAGUGGGGUUCCUCAAGCCACAGUAUGCAUUGCCAAUGUUUCUGUAUUUCUCAGUAUAUCUAAAAAUAUCCUUUAUCAUAAGAAAAACCCCUCUUCUUAUUUAGUAAUACCUUAUCAUGCAUAUAGCACAUAAUGAUAAUUAAAUCGGCAAAUACUCAUUGCAUACUUAUUCCAUGUAAAGCCCUGCUUGGCCCCUGAAGCAUACACACAUCCUUAAAUACUUUUCAUUUCCUUGAUGCCGUUCUCUCUGACCUAUAUGCUCAUAGCAUUCCUCUUGGUUCAGUGUUAAGCCCGUGGAAACUCGCUCUACCUCCAGCCAUUCCACAUAACUGACUCUCCCUGAGGUUAUUGAUAAAUCCUUGUUGCCCAAAUCCCGGGUGAUUUUCAAUUCUCAUUCCAGAUGACCACAUUAAAACACAGGGGUUGUAGUUACUCUGAAACCCCCAUGAACUUGUCUCCCCUCUGGGCCUCAGAAACACCUGUCCCACCCGUUUCUUCUCCCACUUCUCAUAACCACUUCAUUUCUUUUCCUUGUUCCUCUUCCUGAGCCUACCCAUAAAUCUUAGUAUUUCCCUUGAAAUGGCUGGAUGUCUUCUGCUGUUUGUUGUCCUCAUGCCAUCUCAGCCUCUCCCACAUUCAUCUUCAGGUCAGUCUCUCAAGAUGAUUUCUUAGCUCCAUUCCCCUUAGCUCCAGACUCUUCAAAUUCUAAUUAAAUAUUUUCAUAUGGAAAUUCUUCCAACUUCUGCUUGGUUGAAACUGAAGUUAUCAUUUAUUUCUUCAUUAAUCCAGCAAAUAUUUAUUGAGCCUCUACUCUUUGCUGGCACUGGAGAUUUGGUGGUGAAUCUACUGGGGCUUACAAUCACGGGUGAAGGGCAGACAUUGACAAAGGAAUGACAGUGAGCCAGAUGUGCUGAAUGGGGACAUACGUAAUUGGGGGAUUUAACCUAGAUUCUAAUGCCUCCAUAUCUGGAUAACACUAUAUGAUGCAUAGUAUGCGCUCUGCACAUAUUAACUGGCUGAACAUGACACCUGCCAUACUUGGUGGUAAGAGGAUGGGUAGAACUCAGCCAGGUGUGGUGGUGGAGAUGACAGGGCAGUACAGAGAACAGUGUGUGCGAGGCAUCUGUAGGAAAGCGAGAGUGACAUAUCCAGGAACAUUUGAGAACCAGAAACCCUGGAUGAUUGGAGAUUGGAAAGCAAACGGGAGAAAGGUGUGAUAUGUCUUAAAAACCAUGUUAAUGAUUUGAGGUUUCGCUCAAAGGAUGGUAGGAAGCCAUAGAAGGGGUAUAUAAUCCCUGUGGUGAAAAAGUGCCUCUGGCUGGAGGGUGAAGUAUUCAUUGUUCAGAGGAGUUUGUUGGAAAGGCUGGUGGGCGAAUAUGGAUGUUAGGAGAGUAGUCCUGGUGAGAGGUGAGGGUGUUUCAGCUAGGUAGUGGACGGUACAGAUGGAAAAACUUGGAUGCGUUGAUGAUGGCAUUACCAACAAUAUGGACAACAGGCUAAGAAAACCCUUACCUUGCUGCAAGAGACUCUGACCCUCUGUUAAACUCCUAGUCCGGUUCCCUGGGAACAGAUGAAGAUAGUAUACGCCAAUGUUACCAGACAACAUUGCUCAUGGUAAUAGUGAUCUGUGAUUGAUAAAUUUCAACUAGAUUGGGAGGGAAUAUGACUGAACUCUAAAUGUGUGGUGGGAAUGCCGUGCCCUGGUGGGGUUUCCGGGAGCUAUGCUUAAGGAAUCAUUAGGGGAGAUUUGGGCUCCUCUAGGGCAUAAGGCUUCCUGUAAGCCAGGGAAGCCUCAACAUCUGUACCAUAUGGAUCUCAUCUCUGGGCCUCUGGGCUGUGUUAUGAUAAGAGAAGGUAAUUCCCAUACCACCGUAUUGAGCUGUCAUCCUCAUGAAUUGCUGCAAGGACUCGCAUGCAGAGGAAAGUCUGGUACCGUCCUGCUGCCAAGAUGUGGUUCCAGCCUCCUUUCCUUCCAGGGAGACUAGUGCCAAAUGUCAGCUCAAAGGCUUAGCGGGGUCCCUGCUGCCCCAGGAGUAUGAGCAGCAUUUACAGAAAUCCUUGAUUAAGGGAUGAGUGAAGGGCGGGAUAGAUUCAAGGAUGAGUCCCAAGUAUGAAUCCCAAGUUUCUGAUUUGAGUAAUUGGAUGGAGGAGACAGUGUUUUGUGGCACCAAUUGUCUCCAUCUUUUUUAAAAAUGAUUUCUUCAAAGAGGGCCAUGGAGAUGGAGAAAUUUGGAUGUGUUGUGACUUUGUCCCUUUUACCUGGCAUUGUGUUCCUUAGCUUCGCUUCUCCUUGAGUAACUCAUCAUUUUUCCAUUCUUCUGUUAGUCUUCCAAAUUAUCUCCUUUAGGGAGCCUUUCUGAAAUUCUUCUGCACUUCCUCCAUACUGCAAUACCUUCAUCGUAACAUCACGCUAUUUCUUUUUUUUUUUUUUUUAAAGAUUUUAUUUAUUUAUUCAUGAGAGACAGAGAGAGAGGCAGAGGGAGAAGCAGGUUCCCAAGGAGCAGGGAGCCUGAUGUGGGACUCGAUCCCAGGACCCUGGGAUCAUGACCUGAGCCGAAGGCAGACGCUUAACCAUCUGAGCCACCCAGGUGCCCCAACAUCACGCUAUUUCACUAUAAGUGUUCUUGUGUCUCUUUUCUUCAGAUCUCUCUGCCUCUCUCUUUCUCUCUCUCAUUACUGUAUCCUCAAACUUAGGUUAAGGAUUGAUCCCAAGAAGUUUUUUUUUUCUUUGAAUAAAUUGAAAAUUAACAGAGCCACAAAUAAGGGGAGGUGGGGACAGAGAAUAAAAGAGAGAGACAGAGAUAGAGAUCCAAGUUUGGAAUCAGAGAAUUCUUCAAGUGGGAAUGAACAUUUGACCUGAGCCUUGAACAGCUAAUAUUUAGAUGUGUAGAGCUUGGGUGUGAAAAUCAUUUUGGGUUUGGGAGGGCUAAGCAAAGGCACAGAGAUGAAAAAAUAUCUGAUAUGUUGAAGGAAUGUAUUUGUUUCAUUUUCUUACUUCAGAGCUCAUUCUCAGCUGCUCUUGAAUCCAUCCUUGGGGAGGAUUUUUUUCAAACUACUCAUUCAUCGUGUACAUUAUUUUACUUCACUUAUUUUAUUUUGCUCAUCUUUAGAUGUUUGAACAUUAUAAAAUAUUUUGCAUUGUUUUUUUAUUUUUCAACAUUAAAACAACUAAAAAUAUAAUGAAAAAUAUAAAGGACAAAAUAAAAAUCCUUCAUAAAUCUAUCAUUCAAAGACAAUGUCUGAUGAUAUUUUGUUGUAUUUCUUCCUACAUUUUUAUGAGGGAUAGAACUUUUUUUUUAAAUCUUGGUUUAUGAAUCUUCUCUGGCUAUUUUGAUAUUUUGUCUGUAGAAAGUCCGCAUUCUGGUAUGUGUGCACUCGGCUGCAUUCUUUCAGAAAAGAUUUAAGUGAGUAGAAGUCAUCAUUUUCUUAUAAGCUAAGUGAGCAUUACCACACAGCAAGAUGAAUGUGAAUCUCCUAUUCCGACAGACCAGGAUUUGGAUUCUGGCUCCAUUUCCUACAAGCUGUAGUAACUUACACAGGUUAUUUGGGCUCUGCCUUGGUACACUCACGUGUGUGGUAAGGAUCAUAAUGCCCACCGAUUUUCUUUAUGGUGAGAAGGAGACAUAAGGAAUGAAACGUGCCUGCGACUGCAGGCCAAGUGGGCAUCCAGGCAUGCCCUGUGCAUGCAAUGGAAGCAAAAGAUUGAAAUAUCCAUCUUCAGGGGUGCCUGGGUGGCUCAGUCGUUAAGCGUCUGCCUUCGGCUCAGGUCAUGGUCCCAGGGUCCUUGGAUCAAGCCCCGCAUCGGGCUCCCUGCUCCGCGGGAAGCCUGCUUCUCCCUCUCCCACUCCCCCUGCUUGUGUUCCUGCUCUCACUGUCUCUCUCUCUCUGUCAAAUAAAUAAAUAAAUAAAUAAAUAAAUAAAUAAAUAAAUAAAAUAUUAAAAAAAAAUGAAAUGUCCAUCUUCAGAACAAGAGAAAACAAUGCAUCUGUCUUGGCUAUCUUAAAGCAUUAGCUGCGGAAUUUUUAGAAGGAAGUUGGCAUCAUAUGAAUCAUCAGUUCUGUGUUUCGUAGGAGUGGCAGUUCUUUGUACAAAACAUUUAGUCUCCCCCUCACGUGGCAACCAGGGGUUAACUAAUCUUGCUAGUAGGAGUGUGUGAAACUCAUUAAUAUCAUCCAUCUGGUGUGGCUUCAGAGGUGAACAAAACUGAAGGUCAGUAAUAUGAGUCAUUUUCUCCAUUCACCGUCAGACUCCGAGCCAUAGUUUGCGUGGUCUUUCACCUGGAGAGAUGAACUAGAGCCCUGUGCAUUGAGCAUGUGGCCAGAGAGCCAAGCAGAGACAGCCUGAGUACUUUAGCAAACAAGGGCUGAGUAAAACCAAAUGCAUCCAUAAACCUACCAAAUCAGCAGGCACAUGAGAAAUAAUAACUAGCCCUGCUUAUCUCCUCCUAACAGUAACACUGAAGAUGAUGAAACCAGUUCCAGUAGGUGGGGUAAAUUAGCAAUUGUACCUGAAGAUGAAUGUAAAUAAUUACAUAAUUCUAAGCAGUUCAGUUUUGAUUACACCAAGAUUACGACCUGAAAAUGAGAGUCAUGAAAAUGACUGGCAAACAGAAGAUUGGUAUGAAGUAAGACCCUUCUUACUUUAAUUAAAUUAUUGGUGAGUCACGUUCAAUGAUCGUAGACCACAUGCAGACCUUCUCAAAACAUCUUUAUUAACAAUGAAAAUUGUAUGUGAUCUGUAAGUGCAUGGAUUUUUUUAAAUCAAAUAU